GUUGUUGGGUAGGGGAGCGUUCUGUAAGCCUGUGAAGGUGUGUCGUGAGGCAUGCUGGAGGUAUCAGAAGUGCGAAUGCUGACAUAAGUAACGAUAAAGCGGGUGAAAAGCCCGCUCGCCGGAAGACCAAGGGUUCCUGUCCAACGUUAAUCGGGGCAGGGUGAGUCGACCCCUAAGGCGAGGCCGAAAGGCGUAGUCGAUGGGAAACGGGUUAAUAUUCCCGUACUUGGUGUUACUGCGAAGGGGGGACGGAGAAGGCUAUGUUGGCCGGGCGACGGUUGUCCCGGUUUAAGCGUGUAGGUGUGUGUUCCAGGUAAAUCCGGUUCACUUUAACACUGAGGCGUGACGACGAGGCACUACGGUGCUGAAGCAACAAAUGCCCUGCUUCCAGGAAAAGCCUCUAAGCAUCAGGUAACAUCAAAUCGUACCCCAAACCGACACAGGUGGUCAGGUAGAGAAUACCAAGGCGCUUGAGAGAACUCGGGUGAAGGAACUAGGCAAAAUGGUGCCGUAACUUCGGGAGAAGGCACGCUGACACGUAGGUGAAGUGAUUUACUCAUGGAGCUGAAGUCAGUCGAAGAUACCAGCUGGCUGCAACUGUUUAUUAAAAACACAGCACUGUGCAAACACGAAAGUGGACGUAUACGGUGUGACGCCUGCCCGGUGCCGGAAGGUUAAUUGAUGGGGUCAGCGCAAGCGAAGCUCCUGAUCGAAGCCCCGGUAAACGGCGGCCGUAACUAUAACGGUCCUAAGGUAGCGAAAUUCCUUGUCGGGUAAGUUCCGACCUGCACGAAUGGCGUAAUGAUGGCCAGGCUGUCUCCACCCGAGACUCAGUGAAAUUGAACUCGCUGUGAAGAUGCAGUGUACCCGCGGCAAGACGGAAAGACCCCGUGAACCUUUACUAUAGCUUGACACUGAACAUUGAGCCUUGAUGUGUAGGAUAGGUGGGAGGCUUUGAAGUGUGGACGCCAGUCUGCAUGGAGCCGACCUUGAAAUACCACCCUUUAAUGUUUGAUGUUCUAACGUGGACCCGUUACCCGGGUUGCGGACAGUGUCUGGUGGGUAGUUUGACUGGGGCGGUCUCCUCCUAAAGAGUAACGGAGGAGCACGAAGGUUGGCUAAUCCUGGUCGGACAUCAGGAGGUUAGUGCAAUGGCAUAAGCCAGCUUGACUGCGAGCGUGACGGCGCGAGCAGGUGCGAAAGCAGGUCAUAGUGAUCCGGUGGUUCUGAAUGGAAGGGCCAUCGCUCAACGGAUAAAAGGUACUCCGGGGAUAACAGGCUGAUACCGCCCAAGAGUUCAUAUCGACGGCGGUGUUUGGCACCUCGAUGUCGGCUCAUCACAUCCUGGGGCUGAAGUAGGUCCCAAGGGUAUGGCUGUUCGCCAUUUAAAGUGGUACGCGAGCUGGGUUUAGAACGUCGUGAGACAGUUCGGUCCCUAUCUGCCGUGGGCGCUGGAGAACUGAGGGGGGCUGCUCCUAGUACGAGAGGACCGGAGUGGACGCAUCACUGGUGUUCGGGUUGUCAUGCC
RNAcentral lists this ribosomal RNA (1528 nucleotides) under Salmonella enterica subsp. enterica serovar Heidelberg str. CFSAN00324. RNAcentral describes it as "bacterial LSU rRNA". It matches the Rfam family "Bacterial large subunit ribosomal RNA", at positions 1220 to 2730 of the family's 2925-position model. Lineage: Bacteria; Pseudomonadati; Pseudomonadota; Gammaproteobacteria; Enterobacterales; Enterobacteriaceae. The record is from RNAcentral.